This 906-nucleotide ribosomal RNA is filed under the name uncultured bacterium. Its description in RNAcentral is "bacterial SSU rRNA". It matches the Rfam family "Bacterial small subunit ribosomal RNA", at positions 11 to 893 of the family's 1533-position model. The record is from RNAcentral.
GUUUGAUCCUGGCUCAGAAUCAACGCUGGCGGCGUGCCUCAGACAUGCAAGUCGAACGCGAAAGCUCCCUUCGGGGAGCAAGUAGAGUGGCGCACGGGUGAGUAACACGUAGGUAAUCUACCUUUGGAUGGGGAAUAACAACCGGAAACGGUUGCUAAUACCGCAUAAUGCAGCGGCACCUAAUGGUGACAGUUGUUAAAGCGGGGGAUCGCAAGACCUCGCGUCUGAAGAGGAGCCUGCGGCGGAUUAGCUAGUUGGUAGGGUAACGGCUUACCAAGGCGAUGAUCCGUAGCCGGCCUGAGAGGGCGGUCGGCCACACUGACACUGACAUACGGGUCAGACUCCUACGGGAGGCAGCAGUCGGGAAUUUUGGGCAGUGGGCGAAAGCCUGACCCAGCAACGCCGCGUGAAGGAUGAAAUCCCUCGGGAUGUAAACUUCGCAAGAACGGGAAGAAUAAGUCGGUGUCAACACCACCGGCGAUGACGGUACUGUUUGUAAGCUCCGGCUAACUCCGUGCCAGCAGCCGCGGUAAUACGGGGGGAGCAAGCGUUGUUCGGAUUUACUGGGCGUAAAGGGCGCGUAGGCGGCCACCGCAAGUCGACUGUGAAAUCUCCGGGCUUAACCCGGAACGGUCAGCCGAUACUGCGGGGCUAGAGUGCAGAAGGGGCAACUGGAAUUCUCGGUGUAGCGGUGAAAUGCGUAGAUAUCGAGAGGAACACCUGCGGCGAAGGCGGGUUGCUGGGCUGACACUGACGCUGAGGCGCGAAAGCUAGGGGAGCGAACGGGAUUAGAUACCCCGGUAGUCCUAGCCUUAAACGAUGAAUGCUUGGUGUCUGGGGUUUCAUAGUCCCCGGGUGCCGUCGCUAACGCUUUAAGCAUUCCGCCUGGGGAGUACGGUCGCAAGA